This 253-nucleotide ribosomal RNA is filed under the name uncultured bacterium. RNAcentral's name for it is "partial 16S ribosomal RNA". It matches the Rfam family "Bacterial small subunit ribosomal RNA", at positions 524 to 776 of the family's 1533-position model. The record is from RNAcentral.
UACGUAGGGGGCAAGCGUUGUCCGGAUUUAUUGGGCGUAAAGAGCGUGUAGGCGGCUGGGUAGGUCCGCUGUGAAAACUCGAGGCUUAACCUCGAGACGUCGGUGGAAACCAUCCAGCUAGAGUCCGGAAGAGGAGAGUGGAAUUCCUGGUGUAGCGGUGAAAUGCGCAGAUAUCAGGAAGAACACCCGUGGCGAAAGCGGUCCGCUGGCCCUCUACUGACGCUGAGGCGCGAAAGCCAGGGGAGCAAACGGG